Molecule: ribosomal RNA, 467 nt
Filed under: uncultured bacterium
Lineage: Bacteria
Description: bacterial SSU rRNA
Rfam family: Bacterial small subunit ribosomal RNA
Source: RNAcentral
CUGGCGGCGUGCCUAACACAUGCAAGUCGAACGGACGAGGGGAGCUUGCUCCCCAAGUUAGUGGCGGACGGGUGAGUAACACGUGAGCAACCUGCCCUUCGGAGGGGGACAACAGCGGGAAACUGCUGCUAAUACCGCAUAAUGUAUCCUGGAGGCAUCUCCGGGAUACCAAAGAUUUUAUCGCCGAAGGAUGGGCUCGCGUCUGAUUAGAUAGUUGGUGGGGCAACGGCCCACCAAGUCUGCGAUCAGUAGCCGGACUGAGAGGUUGAACGGCCACAUUGGGACUGAGAUACGGCCCAGACUCCUACGGGAGGCAGCAGUGGGGAAUAUUGGGCAAUGGGGGGCAACCCUGACCCAGCAACGCCGCGUGGAGGAAGAAGGCUUUCGGGUUGUAAACUCCUUUGACGAGGGACGAUGAUGACGGUACCUCGAAAACAAGCCACGGCUAACUACGUGCCAGCCGCCGC